GUACCUCUGUGCUUGAUUGUGCACAUGAUCCGGGUGAGCAGAUGUAAACAUCGUGGAUUUGUUUGCUGUUGGUCACGCUCAUUCUUCUUUGAUCUGGAAAACCUUUGGAAAGUAGUUCGGGAUUGAUGGCGGUGUUGCAGGUUUAGUUGAUCGCUGUUCCUCCAGUGUUUGUUAUAUUGUAUUUCCU
Molecule: long non-coding RNA, 187 nt
Organism: Sinocyclocheilus anshuiensis
Lineage: Eukaryota; Metazoa; Chordata; Actinopteri; Cypriniformes; Cyprinidae
Exons: 3
Source: RefSeq, a predicted model, not a curated record